GGCUAGAUUGCAGAGUGGUUUAUGCAGAAGAUUGCAAAUCUUUUUUAGAUAGGUUCGAAUCCUAUUCUAGCUU
RNAcentral lists this transfer RNA (73 nucleotides) under Schimmelmannia schousboei. Its description in RNAcentral is "tRNA-Cys". It matches the Rfam family "tRNA". Rfam says of the family: Transfer RNA (tRNA) molecules are approximately 80 nucleotides in length. Their secondary structure includes four short double-helical elements and three loops (D, anti-codon, and T loops). Lineage: Eukaryota; Rhodophyta; Florideophyceae; Acrosymphytales; Schimmelmanniaceae. The record is from RNAcentral.